This 484-nucleotide ribosomal RNA is filed under the name uncultured bacterium. Its description in RNAcentral is "partial 16S ribosomal RNA". It matches the Rfam family "Bacterial small subunit ribosomal RNA", at positions 29 to 523 of the family's 1533-position model. The record is from RNAcentral.
AGUGAACGCUGGCGGCGUGCUUAACACAUGCAAGUCGAACGAGAACGGGUUAUAGCUUGCUAUAAUUGUCAGCUAAGUGGCGCACGGGUGAGUAAUGUAUAGGUAAUAUGCCUCUUACUAAGGGAUAACAAAUGGAAACGUUUGCUAAUACCUUAUACUCCUUAUUAACAUAAGUUAAUAAGGGAAAGAUUUAUUGGUAAGAGAUUAGCCUGUAUUGUAUCAGUUAGUUGGUGGGGUAAUGGCUUACCAAGACUAUGACACAUAACUGGUUUGAGAGGAUGAUUCGUCACACUUGAACUGAGACACUGUCCAGACUCCUACGGGAGGCAGCAGUGGGGAAUAUUGAACAAUGGACGAAAGUCUGAUGCAGCAACGCCGCGUGGAGGAUGACACAUUUCGGUGCGUAAACUCCUUUUAUAUGAGAAGAUAAUGACGGUAUUAUAUGAAUAAGCACCGGCUAACUCCGUGCCAGCCGCCGCGGUAA